UCAAAUGAUGAUACGGCACUGGGCUCCGACAGCUCUCGACAAGAUCGGGACUGGUUCAUGACAGGAGAUGCCUUUUUGCGGCAGGCCUAGAAAACCUCGCCCACUGAUC
This is a small nucleolar RNA of 109 nucleotides. It matches the Rfam family "A. fumigatus snoRNA Afu_513".